Non-coding RNA from Podarcis lilfordi (Lilford's wall lizard), 73 nucleotides. The record is from the annotation of a GenBank genome assembly. NCBI's taxonomy places the organism in Eukaryota, Metazoa, Chordata, Lepidosauria, Squamata, Lacertidae.
GCUGGGAUAGCUCAGUUGGUAGAGCAUGAGACUCUUAAUUUCAGGGCUGUAGGUUCAAUCCCCACACUGGGCA